RNAcentral lists this ribosomal RNA (497 nucleotides) under uncultured bacterium. RNAcentral describes it as "partial 16S ribosomal RNA". It matches the Rfam family "Bacterial small subunit ribosomal RNA", at positions 28 to 507 of the family's 1533-position model. The record is from RNAcentral.
GAUGAACGCUGGCGGCGUGCCUAAUACAUGCGAGUCGAGCGAACAGACGAGGAGCUUGCUCCUCUGACGUUAACGGCGGACGGGUGAGUAACACGUGGAUAACCUACCUAUAAGACUGGGAUAACUUCGGGAAACCGGAGCUAAUACCGGAUAAUAUAUUGAACCGCAUGGUUCAAUAGUGAAAGACGGUUUUGCUGUCACUUAUAGAUGGAUCCGCGCCGCAUUAGCUAGUUGGUAAGGUAACGGCUUACCAAGGCAACGAUGCGUAGCCGACCUGAGAGGGUGAUCGGCCACACUGGAACUGAGACACGGUCCAGACUCCUACGGGAGGCAGCAGUAGGGAAUCUUCCGCAAUGGGCGAAAGCCUGACGGAGCAACGCCGCGUGAGUGAUGAAGGUCUUCGGAUCGUAAAACUCUGUUAUUAGGGAAGAACAAAUGUGUAAGUAACUAUGCACGUCUUGACGGUACCUAAUCAGAAAGCCACGGCUAACUACGUG